Long non-coding RNA from Cydia fagiglandana, 482 nucleotides. RefSeq lists it as uncharacterized. NCBI's taxonomy places the organism in Eukaryota, Metazoa, Arthropoda, Insecta, Lepidoptera, Tortricidae. The record is from RefSeq and is a predicted model, not a curated record. The transcript has 3 exons.
ACCACUUUAUCGACAUUUAACUUAUAUAAUAAUGAUGUUAAUGAUUGGAGGGUAGUUUUAAUAUCUACCUACGCGACUUGUUUACAACAUGUUUACAAUCGAAAUGUGAAAUAAAUAUACCACUUCGUUUACUCUAACGUUAAAUUAAGUGAUACUUAUACUUUCGUAAUGGAGAUGAGUUUUAAAAGGGCUAUUCAUUUAAAACAUUUUCGCUCCAAAGCUGCGGUCGAGAUAUUACAAAGAUGGGCUUACAAUAUUACUUAUGCUUCUUUAGAAAAACCUCUCCUAACUACGUUAAUAACAAUGACUGCAUGUGUAAUCUUCCUAACAGUAAUGUUAAUGCUGGCAGUCAUUUUUGCUGGUGUAAUAUGUCUUACAAGCAUUAUUUUGUUAAUAGAAGGGUUUUUAUUGGUGGUGAUAAUAAUUGCAGUUAGUUUAUUUACAAUUAUUGGUUUAUACAUAUAUGUCGUUGGCAUUACUUU